CCUACGGGUGGCUGCAGUAAGGAAUAUUGGUCAAUGGACGCAAGUCUGAACCAGCCAUGCCGCGUGGAGGAUGAAGGUCCUCUGGAUUGUAAACUUCUUUUAUUUGGGAAGAAACUCCCGAUUUCCAUCGGGAUUGACGGUACCAGAUGAAUAAGCACCGGCUCACUCCGUGCCAGCAGCCGCGGUAAUACGGAGGGUGCAGGCGUUAUCCGGAUUCAAGGGUUUGUAAGGGGGCAGGUAUGUCAGUGUAGAAAUCUCCGGGCUUAACCCGGAAACUGCCAUUGAUACUAUUUGUCUUGAGUACUCGGGAGGUGAGCGGAAUAUGUCAUGUAGCGGUGAAAUGCUUAGAUAUGACAUAGAACACCCAUUGCGAAGGCAGCUCACUACGGAAAUAUUGACGCUGAGGCACGAAAGCGUGGGGAGCAAACAGGAUUAGAUACCCGUGUAGUC
RNAcentral lists this ribosomal RNA (450 nucleotides) under uncultured bacterium. RNAcentral's name for it is "partial 16S ribosomal RNA". It matches the Rfam family "Bacterial small subunit ribosomal RNA", at positions 338 to 795 of the family's 1533-position model. The record is from RNAcentral.